AAACCACAAGUAAACCUAGUCAGCAUUGAAAAUGCAACUGAUCUUUAAAAAAACACAGAGACAAAGCAUGCGAACUGAAGUGGAAAAGUUAACCUUUCUGUGGUCUGACUAGGAUUUCCUCUAGAGUUCUGAGUGGUUGUCUGAGUUCUAUUAGGAUCUCCACUAAUUGAACCACCAGAGACAAAACCAGGUAGUGAGCUGGUUGUCCGAGUUCUAUUAGCAUCUCCACUGAUUGAACCACCCGAGACAAAACCAGGUAGUGAGCUGGUUGUCUGAGUUAUAUUCAAGUCUCCACCAAUUGAACCACCUGAGACAAAUCCACGUAAUGCUGGUCUGUUGUUGGCAUAAGCACUCGGACUUUGAGAGUUUGAGGA
Molecule: long non-coding RNA, 374 nt
Filed under: Ricinus communis (castor bean)
Lineage: Eukaryota; Viridiplantae; Streptophyta; Magnoliopsida; Malpighiales; Euphorbiaceae
Description: long non-coding RNA (RCOM_LNC000521)
Source: RNAcentral